Molecule: long non-coding RNA, 525 nt
Filed under: Anser cygnoides (Swan goose)
Lineage: Eukaryota; Metazoa; Chordata; Aves; Anseriformes; Anatidae
Description: lncRNA (ENSACDG00005019067.1)
Source: RNAcentral
AUGUGGUGCGGGAUAGCACCGAAUCCAGCCGGGUCGGCUCCAGAUGCGCGGCGCUGGUGGACCGAGCCCAGCUGGGGGACGGGGCCGGCGGAGCUCCCUCCCUUCCGCGGGGCUGGAACCGGCCCCUGGGCAGCGCCCCCAGCUCCUCCCCGCUCUGUAGGGCCGGUCCGAGCCCCUCCUCCCGUUUCCGCUGGCAGGAGCUGGAGCCGUGUCCUGCCGUGCCUGUGCAGCUCCCUCAGGACUCGGCCCUAUCCGGCUCGGCUCGGCCCGGCCCGGCCCGGCCCAGCCCAGCCCGGCCCAGCCCAGCCCAACGCGGUCCAGGGACGUGCGGGUUUGUUUGGGGACCUUUCCAUUGGCAUACAUCCAGUUGCCUCAAAAUUUAAGAAGUGCAACAUGGCAAGAGGCUGCCUGUGUUGUUUGAAAUAUAUGAUGUUCCUUUUCAAUUUGAUAUUUUGGUUGUGUUUUUGCCAACUUCUUAGAAAUAACAGAGGAACAAAUAAUGUUAAAAUAAAAUUUAAAAGGUAA